UGCGAUCCGAGAGCGGGAUCCGCGCUCCCUCGGUCCUUCCUCCCUCCCCUCUUGCGGCCUCCCGCUGUCAUCUGGAGCCGCUCCUGCCGCCCCCUGGCGGCGACCGCGGGAAGGGCCGGCCCCCAUCCGCACCCCUGACCCCGGAGGUCAACAACGGGAUGGUCCCUGGGUCCCAGGGGAAGAGACAUCACCCAGUAGGAGGGAGUACGGUCUAGACAGAGGCCACGAGGGCGGGAGGGGGCGAGAGUGGAGAGUGGCCCAGCUGGCCAGGGUCGUCUAAGUGAGAGGAAAAGGGAGAGGGCGGUUGAGACCAGGCCCUGAAUUCCGCGUUCAUCUUAUCCUGAGGUCUGUGGGGACCUGUUGAAGGACUGGGGCAGGGGACGGACGCGGGCAUCCUUCCAUUUGGAACAGCCAUUCCGGCAGCAUCAGGAUGGGGCGGAGGCAAAGCGGGGAGUGGGCGAGGCAAGUGGUGCUGUAAACCUGUGCGAGAAGGGGGCGGUGACUCUAAGGGCAGGAAGGAGCCCUGGUCACACACACACUCCCACGCAAGGUAUUCAGUGCCGAGUGUGGCCUUGGUGCUAGGAUUCAAAGAGGAAAGGAAGAAAACUUUCCAUUCUAAAAGAAACUCCACGUGAGGCGAAGAAGAUGAAAUAUAGUCAGAAAACCAUACCAGUAGGUGUUAAGUUGAUAAAUGAUGCAUACGACAUCCUAUAGAAGACUGUCACCACCCCACCUCACUGAUCAGCCCUCUGCCUACAGCCACACCCACAGAACAUUCAGCCAUUUCUCCUGUGGUUCCCAGCCUGCAGCACAGCGUCUGCACGUGGAACUCUGGAAUGCUGACCUACAGUCUGAGUUCCUGUGCCCUUGCCUGGGGCUGACUCUCUACUUGACCUGUAACCCACAACUGGGCAAGAGAAAAUUCUGCAGCCACAGCUCUGAGGACAUGAGCAAAAUGGUUUCCAGACGGAAUGUCAAGGAU
This is a long non-coding RNA of Homo sapiens (human), 982 nucleotides long. Ensembl annotates it as cancer/testis associated 62. Its record names the gene CT62. The record is from Ensembl. NCBI's taxonomy places the organism in Eukaryota, Metazoa, Chordata, Mammalia, Primates, Hominidae.